Molecule: unclassified non-coding RNA, 213 nt
Filed under: plant metagenome
Description: partial contains small subunit ribosomal RNA, internal transcribed spacer 1, and 5.8S ribosomal RNA
Source: RNAcentral
UCUCCGUAGGUGAACCUGCGGAGGGAUCACUACAGGCUUGCAAAAGCUCUGAAACCACUGUUUAUCUACCUGAAUCUGCUUCGGCGGGCGGCCCCAGGGCGGGGCCGUAGCCGCGAGGCGCCCGCCGAAGACCCCCAAACCCUGUCGUCUUGAGAAUCUCUGAGUAUCAUAUUAAACAGAAAACAACUUUCAACAACGGAUCUCUUGGCUCUG